Molecule: ribosomal RNA, 324 nt
Filed under: uncultured Pseudomonadota bacterium
Lineage: Bacteria; Pseudomonadati; Pseudomonadota
Description: bacterial SSU rRNA
Rfam family: Bacterial small subunit ribosomal RNA
Source: RNAcentral
AUUGAACGCUGGCGGCACGCCUAACACAUGCAAGUCGAGCGGUAACAUGGUUAGUAGCAAUACUAACUGAUGACGAGCGGCGGACGGGUGAGUAAUACGUAGGAACUUGCCUGGGAGAGGGGGAUAACCAAGGGAAACUUUGGCUAAUACCGCGUAAACUCGGAAGAGGAAAGCUGCCGCAAGGUGGCGCUCCCAGAGAGGCCUGCGUCCGAUUAGCUAGUUGGUGAGGUAAGAGCUCACCAAGGCUGUGAUCGGUAACUGGUCUGAGAGGACGACCAGUCACACUGGGACUGAGACACGGCCCAGACACCUACGGGUGGCCAG